Molecule: ribosomal RNA, 459 nt
Filed under: uncultured bacterium
Lineage: Bacteria
Description: partial 16S ribosomal RNA
Rfam family: Bacterial small subunit ribosomal RNA
Source: RNAcentral
CCUACGGGUGGCAGCAGUGAGGAAUAUUGGUCAAUGGCCGCGAGACUGAACCAGCCAAGUCGCGUGAAGGACGACGGCCCUACGGGUUGUAAACCUCUUUUGUCAGGGGACAAAAUGCGGGUCGUGACCUGCUUUGGAGGUACCUUAAGAAAAAGCAUCGGCUAACUCCGUGCCAGCAGCCGCGGUAAUACGGAGGAUGCGAGCGUUAUCCGGAUUUAUUGGGUUUAAAGGGUGCGCAGGCGGAGGCACAAGUCAGCGGUAAAAUCCCGGGGCUCAACCCCGCGCCGCAGUUGAAACUGGGUGCCUUGAGUGCGCGAAGGGUAGGCGGAAUGCGUGGUGUAGCGGUGAAAUGCAUAGAUAUCACGAAGAACUCCGAUUGCGAAGGCAGCAUACCGGCGCGCAACUGACGCUGAGGCACGAAAGCGCGGGUAUCGAACAGGAUUAGAUACCCCGGUAGUC